Molecule: unclassified non-coding RNA, 318 nt
Filed under: Hevea brasiliensis (rubber tree)
Lineage: Eukaryota; Viridiplantae; Streptophyta; Magnoliopsida; Malpighiales; Euphorbiaceae
Source: RNAcentral
UGCUAAGCCACCACUUGGAUGAGGAUAUAAUUAAGCAGCAGAGAAAGAUUGUGGACCGGCUUAAAGUUUCCAUAGCAUCCUCUAUUACAGAUGCAACACACUUUAUUACUGAUAAGUUUGUGCGUACAAGGAAUAUGUUGGAAGCCAGGCAAGCCAGUGGUAACACAUUUAUGGCUUUAGAAUGUGGGACGGGCUAAUUAUUAUAUUNNNUAUUGAUGAGCAAAAAUACAUACUCAGGGACAUGAAAAAGGAAAAAGAGCUUGGUUUUAACAUGCCAGUUUCAUUGGCACAUGCACGUCAACAUCCACUUCUGCAGGG